RNAcentral lists this ribosomal RNA (491 nucleotides) under uncultured bacterium. Its description in RNAcentral is "partial 16S ribosomal RNA". It matches the Rfam family "Bacterial small subunit ribosomal RNA", at positions 29 to 506 of the family's 1533-position model. The record is from RNAcentral.
AGUGAACGCUGGCGGUAGGCCUAACACAUGCAAGUCGAACGGCAGCACAGUAAGAGCUUGCUCUUACGGGUGGCGAGUGGCGGACGGGUGAGGAAUACAUCGGAAUCUACUUUUUCGUGGGGGAUAACGUAGGGAAACUUACGCUAAUACCGCAUACGACCUACGGGUGAAAGCAGGGGAUCUUCGGACCUUGCGCGAUUGAAUGAGCCGAUGUCGGAUUAGCUAGUUGGCGGGGUAAAGGCCCACCAAGGCGACGAUCCGUAGCUGGUCUGAGAGGAUGAUCAGCCACACUGGAACUGAGACACGGUCCAGGGUCCUACGGGAGGCAGCAGUGGGGAAUAUUGGAAAAUGGGCGCAAGCCUGAACCAGCCAUACCGCGUGGGUGAAGAAGGCCUUCGGGUUGUAAAGCCCUUUUGUUGGGAAAGAAAAGCAGCAGGUUAAUACCCCGCUGUUCUGACGGUACCCAAAGAGUAAGCACCGGCUAACUUCGU